GCCGCGUACAAAUUACGUCCUUAAAAACGAAAAUAUACGUCGCGACAACCGAAUUGCAUUCGCUGUUUUUCGACGACUGUUCCGAAUUGCGUCCGCAAAAAUAAUUGUUGUUCUAUUUCUAUAUGUUUGAUGAUAAACUCGUUAAUAUUUAUCCGUCGAUUAUCUAUUAUCGAUACCUUAUUAUAAGUUGGUAAAUAUCCCUU
Molecule: non-coding RNA, 203 nt
Organism: Cinara cedri
Lineage: Eukaryota; Metazoa; Arthropoda; Insecta; Hemiptera; Aphididae
Source: the annotation of a GenBank genome assembly